AGUGAACGCUGGCGGUAGGCCUAACACAUGCAAGUCGAACGGCAGCACAGGAGAGCUUGCUCUCUAGGUGGCGAGUGGCGGACGGGUGAGGAAUACAUCGGAAUCUGCCCAGUCGUGGGGGAUAACGUAGGGAAACUUACGCUAAUACCGCAUACGACCUUCGGGUGAAAGAAGGGGAUCGCAAGACCUCUCGCGAUUGGAUGAGCCGAUGUCGGAUUAGCUAGUUAGCGGGGUAAUGGCCCACCAAGGCGACGAUCCGUAGCUGGUCUGAGAGGAUGAUAAGCCAAAUGGGAAAUGAGCCACGGGCCAGCCUCCUAGGGGAGGCAGCAGGGGGGAAUAUUGAAAAAUGGGCGCAAGCCUGACCCAGCCAUACCGGGGGGGUGAAGAAGGCCUUUGGGUUGUAAAGCCCUUUUGUUGGAAAAAAAAUUUUUCAGGCUAAUACCCGGGGAGGAUGACGGGACCAAAAGAAUAAGCACCGGCUAACUUCGU
RNAcentral lists this ribosomal RNA (489 nucleotides) under uncultured bacterium. RNAcentral's name for it is "partial 16S ribosomal RNA". It matches the Rfam family "Bacterial small subunit ribosomal RNA", at positions 29 to 506 of the family's 1533-position model. The record is from RNAcentral.